Molecule: ribosomal RNA, 623 nt
Filed under: Gymnothorax chilospilus (lipspot moray)
Lineage: Eukaryota; Metazoa; Chordata; Actinopteri; Anguilliformes; Muraenidae
Description: partial 16S ribosomal RNA subunit
Rfam family: Bacterial large subunit ribosomal RNA
Source: RNAcentral
UCGCCUGUUUAUCAAAAACAUCGCCUCUUGCUAACAAUGAAGUAUUAGAGGUCCCGCCUGCCCUGUGACAGCAGUGUUUAACGGCCGCGGUAUCCUAACCGCGCGAAGGUAGCGUAAUCACUUGUCUUUUAAAUGGAGACCUGUAUGAAUGGCAUAACGAGGACUUAACUGUCUCCUUUCCCCGGUCAAUGAAACUGAUCUGCCCGUGCAGAAGCGGGCAUAGCAACAUAAGACGAGAAGACCCUAUGGAGCUUUAGGCAAAUGAUCAUGUACACCCAGCCCUCUCUUUUACUAAGAGCCGGGAAAAUAAACGCUUAUGAUCAACAUGCCUUCGGUUGGGGCGACCGUGGAGGAUAGAAAAGCCUCCAUGUAGAACGGGAAAACCCUUAGACUAAGACAAACAAGUCUAAGUAUCAGAAAUUCUGACUAAGCAUGACCCAGGCCAAGCCUGAUCAACGAACCAAGUUACCCUAGGGAUAACAGCGCAAUUCCCUCCCAGAGUCCAUAUCGACGAGGGGGUUUACGACCUCGAUGUUGGAUCAGGACAUCCUAAUGGUGCAGCCGCUAUUAAGGGUUCGUUUGUUCAACGAUUAAUAGUCCUACGUGAUCUGAGUUCAGACCGG